GCACAGAGAACAAACAGAGCUUUCAGAUCUUAGAUACCUCUGCAAGACUUCGUUGGAGGUGACCAAAGAGCUGAGCAAAUGCUGGGCAAAGUCUAAGUCUCUGCACUGAACUGCCUUUUCUUUUGGACGAAGAGGGAUGGACAGCCUAUUUUUGAAGCCUCUCUGAUCUGCUCUCUGGAUUUGUCAGUGGAGGCUUGUUGGAUCAUAUCACCAGGACCUUUCUCUGCCUGACCUGAGAGUCAGUCUUGUCAGCGGAGUGCUGUUGGCAUUAAGACUCAGAUCUGGAUGCUCUCUCCCUCCUCUCUGGCUGAGCUAUUUGCCCCCAGUCCAAAGGAAGCUCCAACACAAGGAAUGGCUGAGCCCCUUCGGUGCAGUUGGUAGCAAAGCAUUGGAUGAGUGGAUGAUUCUUUCUCAGGAGAUUCACCAAACAUCAGCUGCCAUAGGAAAUGAGGUUUUCAACUCUUUCUUUUAGGUAGAUUCAGGCCAGUCAUGUUGGAGGUCCCUAGUCACCAUGAGAGAAUAGCUUAUGGGAACUGUGCUACCUGGCUGCUGCAUACUUAGGCAUCUAUAGCUCCCCAAGAGCAAAGCAGCUGGAUUUUGCCUUUGUGGUUAGCUUACUUUCCCUUUAGUGCUUAAAUUCUACAUAAACUACCCUUUCAAGGCUUUUCAGGCAGCUCACUGCAGUCUCCAUUGUUUGAUGCCUGGUUUUUGGGUGGGCAUUUCACUGAAAGAGAAAUCCCACUGUAACUUGUGACUUAUUUUAACCACCUGCCUGACCCUUCUAGAUAAACACUGGAUUCCUCUACAAAUACCUAUUAACUCUGCAAGGCAUUGUCUAGAAGAUAUUAAUAGAUUAUCCCUCGAGAAAAGUGUUGCUAUAUUCAGCAGAGUACCAGACAUGUUGCUGGGGAAAAAUAGAUAUUAAAACUCAGUUUUAAUAAAGGAUGUACAACUGGAAUUUUGAAGAAUAAAGCUCCAGAAUGAUAAAACAUGAAAUGCUUUAUAACAACGGAGAUCCUUGUCAGCUGCUCUGAAGCCUCAGCAGGACCAAGUGGUUGCCUAGUUUACUUCUGCUGGUAGACCAACAUCAACAUGCGCUCCUCUUGUUAGAGGUGGCUACCAGACCAACCAUUCUUCAUUGCCAUGUCCCUUCCUGGUCUAGGCAGAAUGACCCAGCCUUGCUCUUACCUUUUAUUGGAAUUUCUUUUCUUGUCAUGACUGUACACUAGAACUCCACACAGCUCUGCCUAGAGUUAGGUAGUUUCCUCUCCCUUCCUCACUGAAGUAUCUUGAUUAGUAUUUCAGUUGUAUAUUUCAAUGGGGACAUCCCUGACUGUGCUCCUUUGUUGUAGUUUCCUUAAGACUUAGUAAUACAAUAUUGUGCAUAAUGAGAAAUAUUAACUGUAUAAGCAUCUUUCAAAGAUGGAUAAUAUUCAUUUUGCUCCAAGCUUUCUAUGAAGUCUACAUGUGUCCUGGAGGACAAAAGAGAGUUUUGAGGACAUGCUUGCCAAGACUGCACAUUUCCAUCCUUUCCCUCCUGCACAUACCCACAUAUGCAUAUACACACUUCAUUAGAUUAAGAGAAGCCCUGGGGGAUGCUGUCACAGCUGCCUACAUCCUUUUCUCGUAUCUAGCCUUUAGACCCAAAUAUGAUAAUACUUUACACAAGCUCUGCCAUACCUAGAGAACCUCAGACAAAAGACUGUAUUAUCUCCAGUAAAAAACAUUGCUGAAGAUGCUGGAGUUAUAUGGCAAGAGCAUGAAAUCAGAAUCAGGCUCAAGUUUUCAAGGUUUGCUCUGAAUUUUCUAGCUUUUGUGGUUAGAAUCCAGAUCCUUAACAUUAUUUUAACAUAGGUUUUGCAUUUAUAUUUAUAAACACAGAGAACUGCUGCCUAUUUGAGUUUAGAAUAGAUUGUGGUAUAAACAUAUUUCCUCUUUACACAUUAUAAUCAGUGCACAAUGGCCUGCUUUAUGUAAAACAUAUCACAGUCUUUGCUUCUCUGCAUGUGCUCGCAUGCACAUAUAGCUUAAAUUAACUAACUUAAUAUUCUCAUGAUGUGUUCAAAGAGGAGAUCUGUGAAUGAGGUAGGGAAAGAUGGUCUUGCAGUUCCUAUUUUGGAUUCUGAGAUUAAACACUGUAUUUAGUGAAACAUUUAAUGAUGAUUCAUUUUAACAGGCUUUUGGUUGAUGACUUAUUUAUAAUUUCAUCAACCAAACACUUCCCUUGACAGAGUAUGUUUUGGCUCACUGUUGCUCCUGACAGCUAUGUAGAACAAUCUGUAGUAAAUGUGUCCUUUGGAAAAUUAGCCAAACAUCAUUCCAAUGCAAUGACUCUGUAGGCGAUAAGAUGAAAAUGAUUAGUUACAGUUCAUUGAAUACUGCCCCAAACCUGUUCAAAACUACUGCUUGGCAUAAUCCCUGAGAAGGUGUUUUGGCUUCUUUCACAGCAUUGCUAAAAAAUAGUUGAAAUCAAAACUGAGUUUUGCUUAAAGGGUGAAUCAAUAAAAAAAUAUUGGGCUGAAUUUUUCUAGUGUUGUCUUGCAGAAUCUGUCCUAAUUCUGCAAGAUUUUUUGCUUAACUUGGAGUAUGUGAAUUUACUUACACAUUCAUGUUUUUAUAGUAAGAUGUUUUGGUUGAUGGCAUUGCACUGUAACGUUACUUUCAGUGCAAAUGCAGAAAGAAAAGCGCCUAAUUCCUACACAGCAGAGAGGAGAGAAAAAGGAGACAGAAAGUUUCUGCGACACCAUAGACGGGGCUCCCAUAGGACGUAACAAGUAUGUUACUGACUGAGCACCAACAGAGGUGUUGGAACACUGAAAUCUGUAACUGGAGUGACAUCUGCAACACACAAAUGAUGGCAGGAUUGUGCAGGGCUCAUGUCAGGCACUAUCCUGCUCCCAGGAAGAGCAGCUGAAGAAAAUUCAAUAUCCUGUGGCACUCUAUCAAAAAAAAGAUAAAAAAUCUGGAGUUUUGGGACAAAGUGCUUAUUUAUGAUCUCUGCUGGGUGCCUGUUCCCACUGCAUCUGUCCACGGACUAUUUGUAAGCCAAAAAAAAGAACUGCACUUUCAAUCCAUUUUGCCAGAGACCAAACAGAGCUGCAGUGCUGGGGGCUGGAAACACUGGCAGCUUCCCACUCAGGUGCACUUUCCCUCUGCACUCUCCCCUGCAUCCACAUCACCACCCCUGGCAGCUCAUCACUGCAGGUGGCAGGGAUGGCUUUGUAGUGCCCUGGUCUUCAGUCUGACAUGAGGAAGGCUGCCAUGGGCACUGGUGCUCUCUGCUGUUGUUUUCAACAACAUUAAUCCUGCUACUUUCACCCGCAGACUGGCUGCAACGUGAAGGGGUCAGGUCUGUGUUUUUCCCCUGGCUCCUUUCCCACCCAACCCUGGGUGCUCUGGGUGGCCUCGGGGACACAGUGUUACUUGGAGCAAAGCGUGAAGGGGCAAAGGUGAAGUCACAGAGGACAUCACUCCUUCUCUUCACCUUCAUUCAGCAGGGUAACACUGCAUUGUUCUGCUUAUCUGCACAAGACUGUAAGGAUAUAAUUUUUUUGUCUAAAGUGCAGGAAAGAUGUGAUUUCCCAAGCCGUGGCUGACAUUAAAGUUUGCAUUUUGUACUUACA
Apus apus (common swift) is the source of this 3623-nucleotide long non-coding RNA. RefSeq lists it as uncharacterized. NCBI's taxonomy places the organism in Eukaryota, Metazoa, Chordata, Aves, Apodiformes, Apodidae. The transcript is spliced from 2 exons. The record is from RefSeq and is a predicted model, not a curated record.